Molecule: long non-coding RNA, 1080 nt
Organism: Dreissena polymorpha
Lineage: Eukaryota; Metazoa; Mollusca; Bivalvia; Myida; Dreissenidae
Exons: 3
Source: RefSeq, a predicted model, not a curated record
ACCAACAUUGUGACCGUGAGACUUUCGAACACCUUGAAUUGCCCUACUGUCCCCAUCGCAAGUAAAAUUGGAUAUUUUAAUGUCCUGUGAGAUCAGGUCUCCCAACACCUCAUUAUAUUUCCCUUCGUCACUUAUCGAUUCCCGCUCGGAAACAUUUGCAGUACAAUGCCCCCUAUGAUUGGGGCACUGAACAGGUUGACCUUUAUUUCUUAGCAUUGAUGAAGUCCUACAGAGUUUAUUUGAAACCAGAACCCCUACAAUUUGUUUGUUUUUGGUGUUAUUUUCGCACAUUGUGCUUAUGGCAAUGGUUCCGGCUUGAAAGGGUGUUGCGUCCGACUUAAAAAUUGGAUUGUUAUAGCAUGUGUCCCCUUCGACAUUGACCAAAGUGGGAUCUUGUUGACCUGUUUUGGCAUUUUCAGCCACCAAGUUUUUUCUUAUGUCGCACAUACUUCUCUCAUUGAGGGAUUUCAUGGCAGUGUUGACCUUGUUGGCUUGUUUUUGCAUACCCAGUGGAGAUGGAGCGAUUAUAUUAGUAGUAUUCAGAACUCUGCGGAAACCUGUGUUCCCAAUAGAUGUGCUAGCAACACCUAUUUGGGACCCUACAUUUAUCUGAGCUGCCUUUCUGCCCCUUGUACUUGAUGGAACCUCAUUGUACAGCUUAUAAUGCAUGCCUACAUAUUUGCAUCUUGUACAUAGUAACCUUUCCCUCCAGCCUAAGCCCCACUUUACGGAAGCACUGCCAUCAAUGACCAAGUCGCCCUUACAUUUAUCACUUCUUAACCUAUGCUUUUUAUUUUCAGAGGACAUCAUUGACUGUAGUAGGGCUGGGACAUAGACCUUGUUCGUAAGUAAGUCAGGAUGAACUUUGGAUGAAGCAGGAACACGUAACAUGUUUACAUAGCGAAUCCUGCUAGCACGCGGACGCAAGGGCUUAGAUUGGGUUUGAGAGCCGUCUACAUCCCGAAAGGUUGGAGACCACAUGAGACUUUGACAUAUGGCGGGAAACCCUCAUGAACUGGAUAGAAGCCGAGCUUAACAUCUUCACGGAGAAUCCUGUGUGUUAGAUCAGUGUGUGACAGG